GGAUUAGAUACCCCGGUAGUCCACGCCGUAAACGAUGGAUGCUAGCCGUUGGACAGCUUGCUGUUCAGUGGCGCAGCUAACGCAUUAAGCAUCCCGCCUGGGGAGUACGGUCGCAAGAUUAAAACUCAAAGGAAUUGACGGGGGCCCGCACAAGCGGUGGAGCAUGUGGUUUAAUUCGACGCAACGCGAAGAACCUUACCAGCUCUUGACAUGUCAGGUCGGUUUCCAGAGAUGGAUUCCUCCCCGCAAGGGCCUGAACACAGUGCUGCAUGGCUGUCGUCAGCUCGUGUCGUGAGA
RNAcentral lists this ribosomal RNA (297 nucleotides) under uncultured bacterium. RNAcentral's name for it is "partial 16S ribosomal RNA". It matches the Rfam family "Bacterial small subunit ribosomal RNA", at positions 775 to 1072 of the family's 1533-position model. The record is from RNAcentral.